This 497-nucleotide ribosomal RNA is filed under the name uncultured bacterium. RNAcentral's name for it is "partial 16S ribosomal RNA". It matches the Rfam family "Bacterial small subunit ribosomal RNA", at positions 28 to 507 of the family's 1533-position model. The record is from RNAcentral.
GAUGAACGCUGGCGGCGUGCCUAAUACAUGCAAGUCGAGCGAACGGACGAGAAGCUUGCUUCUCUGAUGUUAGCGGCGGACGGGUGAGUAACACGUGGAUAACCUACCUAUAAGACUGGGAUAACUUCGGGAAACCGGGGCUAAUACUGGAUAAUAUUUUGAACCGCAUGGUUCAAAAGUGAAAGACGGUCUUGCUGUCACUUAUAGAUGGAUCCGCGCUGCAUUAGCUAGUUGGUAAGGUAACGGCUUACCAAGGCAACGAUGCAUAGCCGACCUGAGAGGGUGAUCGGCCACACUGGAACUGAGACACGGUCCAGACUCCUACGGGAGGCAGCAGUAGGGAAUCUUCCGCAAUGGGCGAAGGCCUGACGGAGCAACGCCGCGUGAGUGAUGAAGGUCUUCGGAUCGUAAAACUCUGUUAUUAGGGAAGAACAUAUGUGUAAGUAACUGUGCACAUCUUGACGGUACCUAAUCAGAAAGCCACGGCUAACUACGUG